ACAUCUUCGGAUGAGAGCGUACGACAGGUGCUGCAUGGCUGUCGUCAGCUCGUGUCGUGAGAUGUUGGGUAAAGUCCCGCAACGAGCGCAACCCUACUUGCUAGUUACCAUCAUUAAGUUGGGGACUCUAGCGAGACUGCCAGUGAUAAACUGGAGGAAGGUGGGGAUGACGUCAAAUCAUCAUGCCCCUUAUGACCUGGGCUACAAACGUGAUACAAUGGCUGGAACAAAGGGAUGCGAAGCAGUGAUGUGGAGCGAAACCCAUAAAAACAGUCUCAGUUCGGAUUGAAGUCUGCAACUCGACUUCAUGAAGUCGGAAUCGCUAGUAAUCGCGGAUCAGAACGCCGCGGUGAAUACGUUCUCGGGGUUU
This 370-nucleotide ribosomal RNA is filed under the name uncultured Acholeplasma sp. RNAcentral's name for it is "bacterial SSU rRNA". It matches the Rfam family "Bacterial small subunit ribosomal RNA", at positions 1011 to 1382 of the family's 1533-position model. Lineage: Bacteria; Bacillati; Mycoplasmatota; Mollicutes; Acholeplasmatales; Acholeplasmataceae. The record is from RNAcentral.